RNAcentral lists this ribosomal RNA (1213 nucleotides) under Campylobacter jejuni. Its description in RNAcentral is "partial 23S ribosomal RNA". It matches the Rfam family "Bacterial large subunit ribosomal RNA", at positions 1244 to 2435 of the family's 2925-position model. The record is from RNAcentral. Lineage: Bacteria; Pseudomonadati; Campylobacterota; Epsilonproteobacteria; Campylobacterales; Campylobacteraceae.
UUUGCGUCGAAGGUAUACCGGUAAGGAGUGCUGGAGCGAAUAGAAGUGAGCAUGCAGGCAUGAGUAGCGAUAAUUAAUGUGAGAAUCAUUAACGCCGUAAACCCAAGGUUUCCUACGCGAUGCUCGUCAUCGUAGGGUUAGUCGGGUCCUAAGUCGAGUCCGAAAGGGGUAGACGAUGGCAAAUUGGUUAAUAUUCCAAUACCAACAUUAGUGUGCGAUGGAAGGACGCUUAGGGCUAAGGGGGCUAGCGGAUGGAAGUGCUAGUCUAAGGUCGUAGGAGGUUAUACAGGCAAAUCCGUAUAACAAUACUCCGAGAACUGAAAGGCUUUUUGAAGUCUUCGGAUGGAUAGAAGAACCCCUGAUGCCGUCGAGCCAAGAAAAGUUUCUAAGUUUAGCUAAUGUUGCCCGUACCGUAAACCGACACAGGUGGGUGGGAUGAGUAUUCUAAGGCGCGUGGAAGAACUCUCUUUAAGGAACUCUGCAAAAUAGCACCGUAUCUUCGGUAUAAGGUGUGGUUAGCUUUGUAUUAGGAUUUACUCCGAAAGCAAGGAAACUUACAACAAAGAGUCCCUCCCGACUGUUUACCAAAAACACAGCACUCUGCUAACUCGUAAGAGGAUGUAUAGGGUGUGACGCCUGCCCGGUGCUCGAAGGUUAAUUGAUGGGGUUAGCAUUAGCGAAGCUCUUGAUCGAAGCCCGAGUAAACGGCGGCCGUAACUAUAACGGUCCUAAGGUAGCGAAAUUCCUUGUCGGUUAAAUACCGACCUGCAUGAAUGGCGUAACGAGAUGGGAGCUGUCUCAAAGAGGGAUCCAGUGAAAUUGUAGUGGAGGUGAAAAUUCCUCCUACCCGCGGCAAGACGGAAAGACCCCGUGGACCUUUACUACAGCUUGACACUGCUACUUGGAUAAGAAUGUGCAGGAUAGGUGGGAGGCUUUGAGUAUAUGACGCCAGUUGUAUAUGAGCCAUUGUUGAGAUACCACUCUUUCUUAUUUGGGUAGCUAACCAGCUUGAGUUAUCCUCAAGUGGGACAAUGUCUGGUGGGUAGUUUGACUGGGGCGGUCGCCUCCCAAAUAAUAACGGAGGCUUACAAAGGUUGGCUCAGAACGGUUGGAAAUCGUUCGUAGAGUAUAAAGGUAUAAGCCAGCUUAACUGCAAGACAUACAAGUCAAGCAGAGACGAAAGUCGGUCUUAGUGAUCCGGUGGUUCUGUGUG